This 1416-nucleotide ribosomal RNA is filed under the name Triticum aestivum (bread wheat). RNAcentral's name for it is "partial small subunit ribosomal RNA". Lineage: Eukaryota; Viridiplantae; Streptophyta; Magnoliopsida; Poales; Poaceae. The record is from RNAcentral.
AUGAUGAAUGCCCACGCCAACCUAGCUCUGGCCGCUUUGGCAUUCCCAGCCCACAUGCCCAACUCUAAAUCGUCCCACAUCCGAUCACGACGCACCAGACGCCCACUCCUUCCACUCACAAUGGCGGCACAUCCACCAAUCCGAACAAACAUCGGAAUGAGCACCCAUGGCAGUGCCAGUGGCGGCGGGGAGCAAGCCGGCAUCUCCAGCACGGACCGAUUCCGCAUGAUAGACUUCCACCACGUCGAGUUUUGGUGCGCCGAUGCCGCCUCCGCCGCCGCACGCUUCUCCUUCGGGCUCGGCGUGCCACUCGCGGCAGAGUCCGGCCUCUCCACGGGGAACACCGCGCACGCCUCCCACCUACUCCACUCACGCUCGGGCUCUCUCGCGCUCCUCUUCAGCGCCCCAUACGCACAGGGCGACGCGGUCACCGCGUCCGUGCCCUCCUUCGACGCCGACGCCGCACGCCGCUUUACCGCAGAUCACGGCCUGGCGGUGCGCGCCAUGGCCGUCCGUGUCCCGGACGCCGGCGAGGCCUUCCGCACGAGCGUUGACGCUGGAGCGCGCCCGUCCUUUGCCCCUGCUGAGCUUGGACACGGCUUCGAGCUCGCGGAGGUCCAGCUCUACGGAGACGUCGUUCUCCGCUUCGUGAGCCACCCAGACGACACGGCCAUACCCUUCUUGCCGGGGUUCGGGAGCGUCCCCAGCUCCGGGGCUACACCGGACUACGGGCUCACGCGGUUUGACCACAUCGUCGGCGACGUCCCUCACCUGGCUCCGGUCGCUGCAUACAUAGCCGGGUUCACAGGGUUCCACGAGUUCUCUCGCUUCACUGCGGACCAGGUGGGCACGGCCGAGAGCUCCCUCAACGUCGUGGUGCUCGCCAACAAUUCAGAGAACGUGCUGCUCACCGUCGUCGAGCCAGUGCAUGGCACCAAGCGCCGGAGCCAGGUACAGACCUACCUGGACCACCACGGCGGCCCAGGCGUGCAGCACCUGGCGAUGGCCAGCAACGACGUGCUUGGCACGUUGAGGAAGAUUCGUGGGCGGUCCACCAUGGGCGGCUUUGAGCUUCUGCCACCGCCACCGGCCAGCUACUAUGACGAUGUAAGGCGGCGCGCUGGGGACGUGCUGUCAGAAGCACAGAUUAAGGGGUGCCAGGAGCUAGGCGUACGGGUGGACAAGGAUGACCAUGGAGGUGUUGUGCUCCAAAUCUUCACAAAGGCGGCGGGCGACAGGCCAACCUUGCUCUUGGAGUUUAUCCAAAGGAUCGGAUGCAUGGACAAGGACGAGAACGGGCAGGAAUACCAGAGAGGUGGCUGCGGUGGAUUUGGCCAGGGUAACGUCACUGAGCUGUUCAAGUCCAUUGAGGACUAUGAAAAGUCCCUUGACGCUUCUGCACGCCUGGCCGCCUAA